This 171-nucleotide small RNA is filed under the name Lacunisphaera limnophila. Its description in RNAcentral is "c-di-AMP sequence". It matches the Rfam family "c-di-AMP riboswitch aptamer (ydaO/yuaA leader)". From Rfam's summary of the family: This family represents a conserved RNA structure found upstream of the ydaO and yuaA genes in Bacillus subtilis and related genes in other bacteria. The ydaO/yuaA element is thought to act as a genetic "off" switch for the ydaO and yuaA genes in its native state. It is believed that the element may be triggered during osmotic shock leading to activation of ydaO, a predicted amino acid transporter gene, and members of the yuaA-yubG operon which code for KtrA and KtrB K+ transporters. Lineage: Bacteria; Pseudomonadati; Verrucomicrobiota; Opitutia; Opitutales; Opitutaceae. The record is from RNAcentral.
GUUCUUUCACCGCCUAAGGCAACGCCGCUUCCUCGGCGUUUUCACGGGGGACCCAAAUUCCACCGCGCUCGCGCGCGGCGGACGGGGCGCAUGGUCGCGGGCAACCGCGAGCAAGGUCACUUCCUAGGACCUAGCCCGUCAGCUAACCUCGUCGGCAAUGGGAAGGGUGAU